AUGACUUUAUUUAGUGAUGAAUCCACUAUUUCGGAAGAGGUUUCAAUUGAUUAUGAUGAGAACAAAGUUGCUACUUAUGAUGAUUAUUGUGAUGAAACUUAUGCUAUAAAAAGUAGUGAUGAUUAUAUUUAUAAAAAUUGUCAUGAUUAUGAUUACCCUUUUUCUAGACAUUACUCUUUUAAUAUGGAAACAAUUUAUAGUAUUCGAGUUUCUUAUGAUACUCCCACUAUUCCGAAUGAGAAGAAUUUUGCUUAUGUGAAGAGUAAUAGAAUUUAUAUGCUUGUGGUUCAUGAAAAGAAUGCUUUAUGUGAUGGUUAUAUUGUUGAAUUUAUUCAUGAUGCUACUGAAAACUAUUAUGAGGGAGGAAUACAUGCUUGUAGGAAUUGCAAUAAUAUCAAGUUUCCUCUCUAUGUGCUUAAAGUUUUGAAGUUAUGCUUGUUUUGUCUUCCUAUGCUAGUUGAUUAUUGUUCCCAUAAGUUGUUUGCUCACAAAAUCCCUAUGCAUAGGAAGUGGGUUAGACUUAAAUGUGCUAGUCAUAUUCUUCAUGAUGCUCUCUUUAUGUCUCCAACGUAUCUAUAA
RNAcentral lists this ribosomal RNA (579 nucleotides) under Triticum aestivum (bread wheat). Its description in RNAcentral is "partial small subunit ribosomal RNA". The record is from RNAcentral. Lineage: Eukaryota; Viridiplantae; Streptophyta; Magnoliopsida; Poales; Poaceae.